AUGCAGCAGCCGCGGUAUUCCAGCUCCAUAGCGUAUAUUAAAGUUGUUGCAGUUAAAAAGCUCGUAGUUGAACUUUGGGCCUGGGCGGACGGUCUACCUAUGGUAAGCACUGUUGCGGCCGGGUCUUUCCUUCUGGCUAGCCCUCGGGCGAACCAGGACGAUUACUUUGAGGAAAUUAGAGUGUUCAAAGCAGGCCUUUGCUCGGAUAUAUUAGCAUGGAAUAAUAGAAUAGGACGCAUGGUUCUAUUUUGUUGGUUUCUAGGACCAUCGUAAUGAUUAAUAGGGACGGUCGGGGGCAUCAGUAUUCAGUCGUCAGAGGUGAAAUUCUUGGAUUGACUGAAGACUAACUACUGCGAAAGCAUUUGCCAAGGACGUUUUCAUUAGUCCACACCCACAGUUAGCGGAUCGAAGAUGAUCAAAUACAGGCUUAAGAAUAAAAAUGACUAUGUCGACUACGAAUCGCUAGGUGCGGGUUUGGUU
Molecule: ribosomal RNA, 480 nt
Filed under: Pichia kudriavzevii
Lineage: Eukaryota; Fungi; Ascomycota; Pichiomycetes; Pichiales; Pichiaceae
Description: bacterial SSU rRNA
Rfam family: Eukaryotic small subunit ribosomal RNA
Source: RNAcentral